RNAcentral lists this ribosomal RNA (253 nucleotides) under uncultured bacterium. RNAcentral describes it as "partial 16S ribosomal RNA". It matches the Rfam family "Bacterial small subunit ribosomal RNA", at positions 524 to 776 of the family's 1533-position model. The record is from RNAcentral.
UACGUAGGGUGCAAGCGUUAAUCGGAAUUACUGGGCGUAAAGCGUGCGCAGGCGGUUUUGUAAGACAGUCGUGAAAUCCCCGGGCUCAACCUGGGAAUGGCGAUUGUGACUGCAAAGCUGGAGUGCGGCAGAGGGGGAUGGAAUUCCGCGUGUAGCAGUGAAAUGCGUAGAUAUGCGGAGGAACACCGAUGGCGAAGGCAAUCCCCUGGGCCUGCACUGACGCUCAUGCACGAAAGCGUGGGGAGCAAACAGG